This is a long non-coding RNA of Anopheles stephensi (Asian malaria mosquito), 981 nucleotides long. RefSeq lists it as uncharacterized. NCBI's taxonomy places the organism in Eukaryota, Metazoa, Arthropoda, Insecta, Diptera, Culicidae. The transcript has 2 exons. The record is from RefSeq and is a predicted model, not a curated record.
UCUUCUCGGUCAUGGAUUCGACAAUCAAAUCGGGCCUGCCAAACCGCGCAUGUAAGGUCGCCAUAGCCUCCUUCAACCCGCUGGGGAAUGACAGGAGGUGUCCUACUGCCUCGAGCGCCGCACCUCUCAACGCCUGUUGCAGCCGCCUGGGAGCCCUACAAAGUUUCCAACGGACGCGGAAGCCGGACGGGGACAGUGGGAAGUGCGAAGAGCUCGUUUUCCACUGUCACAGACGGGUACAAAAAUGCGUGUACGGAAUGGAGGGAAGCAUGCAAUUGGUAAUACAGAAAGGAAACGCUUGGAAAUUUUUUUUAUAACAUCACUGAUGCCAAAGAGAUGAUGUGAGUUAAAGAGCAAGCAUAAGAAUAAAGCAUGUCAAGCGGUGAGGUAUGUGGUGAGACAGAGGAAUGUGUGGAAACAUUCCCUCGCUAUGAGGAUAGACCAAAAUCGCGGACAGCCUCGAGAAAGUUUUCCGCAAAUGUAAAAAUAGAAGAUCCAGGAAAAAUAACAGAACUUUCACAAAGUUUUUACGUCGUAAAGGGAAACCAACAAUCACUAGUAGGUAAAGAUAAAAGAAGUAAGAGUUGAAAUACCCAUAGACAGACCGGGUGUCUAUAGGCGAACGGGUGUCUCCUUUAGUUCCAAUCUUUACGAACAAUGGUGAUUUGCGCCUAUGUGUAGAUAUGCGUAGAGCAAAGAAGGCCAUCAUGAGUGAGCAACACUUCACCACGGCUAAAAUAUUCUCUCGUUUGGACUUUAAGGAAGCCCAAACCUCCUUAAUUCUCUAUACCUUUUCCAUCAGGUAUAACUGCACGAGAAUAGCAAAAAUAUAAAAGAUAUAAAAAGGUAUAAAAGAUUGUUAUUUGGAAUUGUAGCUACGCCGGGAAAUUUCCAGUGUAUUAUGGAACACAAUUUGGCCAAAUUUAAUAGAAACGUUGUGAAUUGUAUUGACGACAUAAUAAACCACCAUACACCAUACGA